UGCGGGGGGGGCAAGCGUUGUUCGGAAUUACUGGGCGUAAAGGGCUCGUAGGUGGCCAACUAAGUCAGACGUGAAAUCCCUCGGCUUAACCGGGGAACUGCGUCUGAUACUGGAUGGCUUGAGUUCGGGAGAGGGAUGCGGAAUUCCAGGUGUAGCGGUGAAAUGCGUAGAUAUCUGGAGGAACACCGGUGGCGAAGGCGGCAUCCUGGACCGGGAUUGACACUGAGGCGCGAAAGCCAGGGGAGCAAGCGGG
RNAcentral lists this ribosomal RNA (253 nucleotides) under uncultured bacterium. Its description in RNAcentral is "partial 16S ribosomal RNA". It matches the Rfam family "Bacterial small subunit ribosomal RNA", at positions 524 to 776 of the family's 1533-position model. The record is from RNAcentral.